CUACGGGGGGCAGCAGUGAGGAAUAUUGCACAAUGGGGGGAACCCUGAUGCAGCAACGCCGCGUGGAGGAUGACGCAUUUCGGUGUGUAAACUCCUUUUAUAUGCCAAGAAAAUGACGGUAGCAUAUGAAUAAGCACCGGCUAACUCCGUGCCAGCGGCCGCGGUAAUACGGAGGGUGCAAGCGUUACUCGGAACCACUGGGCGUAAAGGACGCGUAGGCGGGUUGGAAAGUCAGGUGUGAAAUCCUACAGCUUAACUGUAGAACUGCACUUGAAACUUCUAAUCUAGAGUAUGGGAGGGGGAGAUGGAAUUAGUGGUGUAGGGGUAAAAUCCGUAGAUAUCACUAGGAAUACCUAAAGCGAAGGCGAUCUCCUGGAACAUUACUGACGCUAAGGCGUGAAAGCGUGGGGAGCAAACAGGAUUAGAUACCCUGGUAGUC
Molecule: ribosomal RNA, 439 nt
Filed under: uncultured bacterium
Lineage: Bacteria
Description: partial 16S ribosomal RNA
Rfam family: Bacterial small subunit ribosomal RNA
Source: RNAcentral